This 370-nucleotide ribosomal RNA is filed under the name uncultured bacterium. Its description in RNAcentral is "bacterial SSU rRNA". It matches the Rfam family "Bacterial small subunit ribosomal RNA", at positions 527 to 896 of the family's 1533-position model. The record is from RNAcentral.
GGAGGGUGCAAGCGUUGUUCGGAAUCACUGGGCGUAAAGGGCGUGUAGGCGGUCCGCUAAGUCUGAUGUGAAAGCCCGGGGCUUACCCCCGGAAGGGCAUUGGAAACUGGCGGACUCGAGUCCCGGAGAGGAAGGUGGAAUUCCUGGUGUAGCGGUGAAAUGCGUAGAUAUCAGGAGGAAUACCGGUGGCGAAGGCGGCCUUCUGGACGGUGACUGACGCUGAGACGCGAAAGCGUGGGGAGCAAACAGGAUUAGAUACCCUGGUAGUCCACGCUGUAAACGAUGAGCACUAGGUGUCGUGGUAUUGACCCCCGCGGUGCCGACGCUAACGCAUUAAGUGCUCCGCCUGGGGACUACGGCCGCAAGGUUA